GAAUGUAUAGCUCAAAGGUAGAGCAAUAGGCUUUUAACUUACAGGUUCCGAGUUCAAAUCUCGGUACAUUCU
This 72-nucleotide transfer RNA is filed under the name Acavomonas peruviana. Its description in RNAcentral is "tRNA-Lys". It matches the Rfam family "tRNA". Rfam says of the family: Transfer RNA (tRNA) molecules are approximately 80 nucleotides in length. Their secondary structure includes four short double-helical elements and three loops (D, anti-codon, and T loops). Further hydrogen bonds mediate the characteristic L-shaped molecular structure. tRNAs have two regions of fundamental functional importance: the anti-codon, which is responsible for specific mRNA codon recognition, and the 3' end, to which the tRNAs corresponding amino acid is attached (by aminoacyl-tRNA synthetases). tRNAs cope with the degeneracy of the genetic code in two manners: having more than one tRNA (with a specific anti-codon) for a particular amino acid; and 'wobble' base-pairing, i.e. permitting non-standard base-pairing at the 3rd anti-codon position. The record is from RNAcentral. Lineage: Eukaryota; Colponemida; Acavomonidia.